RNAcentral lists this ribosomal RNA (583 nucleotides) under uncultured bacterium. RNAcentral describes it as "partial 16S ribosomal RNA". It matches the Rfam family "Bacterial small subunit ribosomal RNA", at positions 355 to 926 of the family's 1533-position model. The record is from RNAcentral.
UGGGGAAUAUUGCACAAUGGGCGCAAGCCUGAUGCAGCCAUGCCGCGUGUGUGAAGAAGGCCUUCGGGUUGUAAAGCACUUUCAGCGAGGAGGAAGGUGGUGAGCUUAAUACGCUCAUCAAUUGACGUUACUCGCAGAAGAAGCACCGGCUAACUCCGUGCCAGCAGCCGCGGUAAUACGAAGGGUGCAAGCGUUAAUCGGAAUUACUGGGCGUAAAGCGCACGCAGGCGGUUUGUUAAGUCAGAUGUGAAAUCCCCGGGCUCAACCUGGGAACUGCAUUUGAAACUGGCAAGCUAGAGUCUCGUAGAGGGGGGUAGAAUUCCAGGUGUAGCGGUGAAAUGCGUAGAGAUCUGGAGGAAUACCGGUGGCGAAGGCGGCCCCCUGGACGAAGACUGACGCUCAGGUGCGAAAGCGUGGGGCAGCAAACAGGAUUAGAUACCCUGGUAGUCCACGCUGUAAAACGAUGUCGAUUUUGGAGGUUGUGCCCUUGAGGCGUGGCUUCCGGAGCUAACGCGUUAAAUCGACCGCCUGGGGAGUACGGCCGCAAGGUUAAAAACUUAAAGGAAUUGACGGGGUCUAGCUG